Molecule: long non-coding RNA, 8905 nt
Organism: Loxodonta africana (African savanna elephant)
Lineage: Eukaryota; Metazoa; Chordata; Mammalia; Proboscidea; Elephantidae
Exons: 2
Source: RefSeq, a predicted model, not a curated record
UUCAUUGCAGCAGUCACAAAGGUCUGCCCAGUUUCAAGUAGAGGGAAAAAUAGACUCCACCUCUUGAUGGGGAGGGACAAGGUUCUGGAAGAGCAUGUGGAACUGGAGAUACUCCUAUGGCCAAUAUGCCACAGAGCCCUCUUCUCCUGACUGCUCAUUCGCGGUCCCACUGCCCUGACCUGGUAAGACCCUUCUAGGGGCUCAACCAACAUUGCCCCCUCUCGUCCCAACUUUGGAAGUGAUGGGAGUGGGAGAGGCCCAUGAAAGGCCAUUUACUGAGCACUUCCUACCUGCCAGGUCUUACAGUGGACACUUCCAUGCAUUAUUUCAUUUGAUUCCCACUAUAAUCCUGUUUAGGGAGCCCUGGUGGCACAGUGGUUAAGAACUAUGGAGUGCUAUGGCUGCUAACCAAAAAAGUCAGUGGUUCAAAUCCACCAGCCACUCCUUGGAAAACCUAUGAGGCAGUUCUACUCUGUCCUAUAGGGUCACUAUGAGUCGGAAUCGACUCGAUGGCGAUGGGUUUGGGUUUUUUUGGCUUAUAAUCCUACUUGAUGAGCAAUGUGGCCCCAUUUGUAGGUAAGGAAACUGAGGCUCAGAGAAGUGAGUGACUUUCUGAGGCCACAAGGAGUCAGCAGCGAGGCCAGGAUCCGAAGCCAGGUCUGUGUGGCUUUGAAGGCUCUGAUCUUGCCCCUGCACCAGCUGCCUCCAGGCUCCGGAUAAGGAAGGUGCCACAUGGUGAGGGAUUAAGACCAUGGGACUUGGGAUCAGAUUAACCUGGGUUCUUAUUGAAGCUCUUGGCCUUGAGCAAAUCACUUUUGCCUUUCUGAGCAUCAAUUUUCUCAUCUGUCCAAUGGUGAUAAUAACUUCUACAUGUCAAACUUAAAAAAAGAAGAACUAAUCUCUGUUACAAGCUUGGUAUAGCAUCUGACACAUAUUACUUGGGACCCAGACCACCUUGUCUCACCCUAUUCAGGGCUCACCCAUCUGUGGGGAGCAGAGCAGGUCUGCGGCUGCCUAAAGAAUAGGCCCUCUGCCAUUCACCAAGGGAGAGCCCCUGGGCUCCUACCGGCUAUUUUUAGGCCAGUGUGGGCAACCACAGAAUCACAUGGUUGUAAUAGUGCAGAGCUGUGGGGUUUACCACUGCCUGGCCAAGCCCAGGAGGAAAAGAAAACACUUCUAGUGACAGAUGGUGGGUAUCUGAGGUUAGAAAAGGCUUCACUUGCUUCCCAGCAUCUCUAGAUGACCUCACACAAGUCAGAGAGCCUCUCUGGGCCUCAGUUUUUUGGUCUGUCAAAUGUGGAUAGUAGUAAGAGCAAUAGCUCACAUUUUGAGGUGCUUUCCACAUGCCAGAUGCUGGUCAAACACUUCAUGGGUGUCAUCUGGCAUGAUUCUCACAGUGGUCCUGUGAGGGAGGCUUGAGGGAGGAGGCAGAAGUUGCUCAGCUAGAGGAGGGGGAAGAGACAAAACUAAGCCCAGCUCUUUGAACUGCUCUGCUUCCAGCUUCCCAGAUAGACUGGAAUGAAGGUCAAGAGGAUUAGCUGAGAUUAUGGAUGUGGAUGUUUUUUAAACUGUAAAUGAGAAUGUAAACUGAACAGACCUCAGGGUCAACCUAGGCUGCGGCUUCAAACUGUACUCUGUGGAGACCUUCCUGAGCCCUCCCCAACCCAAGCCUUCAGCCAGAGCAUGUUUCAUUUAUUCAUCUGUUUUCCAUGUGUGAGAUCCUGGUAGGAUUUUAUUUUGGCUCCACUAGCAAAAAAAAAAAAAAAGAAAGAAAGAAAAAGACUUUGGAAACCACUAAGUGUGGGCUGAGAUUGGAGGUGGCAGAGAUAUUUUUCAGGGCCCCAGGUGUCCCGGUCCCUGUUUCCAGGCUCAGUUCUUGGAGGGGCCCAAGCCUCAGGCCUACCCCCAUUCCUCACUCAGGUGGAGCCUCUGACAUUCUUAUUUUUUGGGUCCAGGAAACAAUGUUCCUGGAAGAGCCACCAGCCAUGGUUAGAACCCAGACACCAUGUAAUUCCCCAAGAGGGGAGGAGAGAAGGGAACAAAUGUAUAUUUGUGUGUAUACACGCACAUACGUAUACCUACAGCCAUAUACACACAUACACACCACACACAUCACACAGGCACACACACAUAGAGGCACUCAAAAUAUACAAUGCUGGCAAAAUGGACCUGAGCAUACCAAUGAUUGUGAAGAUGGUGCAAGACUGGGCAACGUUUGUCCUGUUGUCCAUGGGGUCGCCAUGAGUCAGAGAUGACUACACGGCAGCUAACAACAACAAUUACUAUACACUUCCAUGGAUAAAUGGAUAAACAGGUACAUAUACUCAAUAUACCCACAUUGUGAAAGCAGACAUAUUAACAGAUGCUCACACAAACUUGUGCAUGCUGCAUGCCCAUAUAAUCACGGGUAUACAUAUAUACUGCAUUCACACACUUUCAUACACGAUAAUGAUAAGCACAGGUACACCAGCACCUGUAUAUACAACAAAAUCACACCUGUAUAGUCACCCACUGAUGCAGGCACCAACACAUGUGCACACACAUGCAUGCACGCACACACGCACACACCUUUACAAGCAUAAGUACAAGCUUAUCAAGGCUGCAAAUCAUGUGUAAGUACUGGCUUUUUAGCUCCUUGCUGCGGAGCAAUUCUGCAAAGGUGCAGAGACACAAACACCUAGUUCCACUUCACCUGAAAACCCCCAGCCCCUGGGUGCGUGGGUGGGUGAACCAGCCACCCUCCCUGCAGGGGGCACAGUGGAAAGUAUGACCUGAGUUGACUUUUUUCAAUCAGAGAAAGGUGAGGGGUUUUUCCACUGUUUCUUCACCGUGUCAGGAGUGACCAGGGCCACCAUUGCUAAUCCACCUCCCAUUGUCCUCUCUAGCCCUUGGGAACAUUCAGGUUCAAUACCAGGAUUUACUCAGCAAUGGGAGCUAAGAUACACCUGACACCUACUGGGUGCCAGGCCCCCCCAGCUGGGGGCUAGAGGGACAGAGACCAGUUGGACCUGGGCCUUGCCCAUGGGGUUCACAGUCAAGAGAAGAGGUGAUGGGCAGGGUCAAAGCUCUAAAAAUUUAUUCAACUCAUGUUCAUUUUGCCAAUUGAUCAAUUUUUCAUAUGAACAUUUUACUGAAUAUACUAAAUUUAUGAUAAAUAAAUUUAUCGAAUAAGUUAAUAAUGUUAUCUUUCAACUCUAAAAUAUAGAGUUAUUUUUAUUGGAUGGACUAAAAUUUGUUUUCAUUUUGUCUUCACAGCGGCAUUUGAAGAAAUAUUCAGAGAGGCAUGUAAUAUUUGUACCUGGAGAGGGGCUUUCUGGGGCAUCCACCAGGAACAGGGUGCUCUGGGAGCCCUGUAGCAUGACAGGUUUCCAGGACCACCUGCCCCAGAUGGGCAGCCCUGGGCCAGAGAGGCGGAGAGACACGCCCAGGGCUCUACAGUCACGCGCUUAAUGGGGACCAGAACCCAGGCUCCGCCUCCAGCCCCAGGAUCUGCGUGGAGAGGCCCAACUCUACGUCAAUAAUGGCAGAAGUAUCCACGUAGUUGCCCAAGUCAGAAACCCGUCCCAACCUGGACUCCUCACUUCCACCCCUCUCAGUGCAGUCCACUCCCCUAUCCAUCCCCAACCCACCCCCAGCUCGGGUCUCCUUGUCUCUCACCAGGAGCUUCUGCACAGGUCUCCGCAUUCACGCUUGUUCCUGCAAUCCAUCCUCUGUCCAACUUCCUGGGCGAUUUAUCUCCCCGCAAUGCGAGAGCCCACGACAUUGCUCUACAGUUUAUGCCCUUCUACGACUCCUUGUGGAAACCCUGGUGGUGUAGUGAUUAAGUGCUACGGCUGCUAACCAAAAGGUCAGCAGUUCAAAUCCGCCAGGCACUCCUUGGAGUUCAAAUCCGCCAGGCACUCCUUGGAAACUCUACGGGCAGUUCUACUUUGUCCUGUAGGGUCGCUAUGAGUCGGAAUCGACUCGACGGCACUGGGUUUGGUUUGGUUUUUUGGAGGGCUCUUUGUGGCUCAAACGUUACACAUUUGACUGCUAAACAAAAGGUCGGCAGGUCAAAUCCACCAGCCCCCUCCUUGGAAACUCUAUGGGGCAGUUCUACCCUGUCCUAUAGGGUCGCUAUGGGUCCCAAUCGACUAGACGGCAAUGGGUUUAGGGCUUCUUGGCUGGACAUUCGAGGCCCUUCAUGGCACUCCUCAUCUUCCUCUCCACCUACUGUCCCUGAUGUGCCCCUUCGCUCCCUCAAGGCAGAAAUUACUUUCCAUCUGCACAUUGGAGAACCUUCUUGCAUUUGCCCAUGCUGUACCGUCUGCCGGUAACUCCUCCCUCUACACGCCUAUUCCGGCACGCCAGAGGGAAGCUCAGCACUGGCACCCCGGGAUCCCCCACCACAUCCCACCCCACCCCACCCCACCCCGCGAAGCCUUGGAUGAUACUAAUCUCUUUGGCCUGCAUGUUUAGGCCUUCCCCUACCCCUUCUUGAGAGUAGUAAAAACGUUUUAUUGUGAAAAAUUUCAAUCAUACCCAAAAACAGAGAAUAAUACAAAGAACCCCGUGUGUUCCUCACUCAGCUUCAACGCUCACCAACUCAUUCACUCUUGCUUCAUUUAUAUUCUCCAACUUCCUCCCCAUUGUAUUAUUGUGAAGCAAGUCCAAAACAUCAAAUAAUUUUAAACGUUGCAAUAUGCAUUUCUAAAGAUAAAGGCAUGACAGAAUACCGCUACAUAGCUAAAAUUUUAGUAGUAAUUUUUAAUAUCAAACAUCCAGUUGUGUUUACAUUUCCCCAAUUAUCUCAUAAGCGAUCUUUUAAAGUCAGUUUGUCCAAAAUCAGGAUCCAAACAAAGUCCAUACAUUAUGUUUGGUUGUUACAUCUCUUAAGUUUCCUUUGAUCUAUAGGUUUCUCCUCCCUCCCAUGUUUUCUUGAAGAAUUUGUUUAAUAAACCAAGCCUCUUGUCUUGUGCAGUUUUCCAUAUUCUGGAUUUUGCUGACUGCAUCCGCAUGGUGUUAUUUAACAUAUUCUCCAGUCCCCUGCCUUUCCUAUAAAUUGGUUGUUAGAUUUAAAAACUUGAUUAUAUUCAAAUACGAAGUUUUGGCAAAAAUACUUCAUAGGAGGUGUUGUGUGCUUUACCUAGGAGGUGCAUAACGUCUAAUAUCUCCCUUUUAAUGAUGUUAGAAGACUUUAAUCAUCAUUGUAUUGGUUCAUUAUUUCAUUUGAGAUUUAUAAAACAGUGACAUUUUAAUGCUAUUACUACUUCUUCAUUUGUUAGUUCGAAUACUUCUACAAAGAGAAACUUCUCAGCUAUUUGGUGUCUCUGAGGUAGUUUGUUUAGGAGAGCAGGAUAAAUGCUUAGUGCUAUAUACCAAUUUUCAGAAUAGAGUGACUUUCCUACCAUUCUCCAAAGGAGACCAACAAAAGUUUUGCUUGUUUGCUUUUAGCUUUUUUGUAUCAUUAACUGUUUUUUUUUUCUUUUUGUUUUAUAUUUGUUGUAUUUCAAUCCAUUGCAUUUUCCUUGCUAUUACUCUAAUUGUGCUGUCUUUGGCCAGUAAGGACCUCUUUAAUUAACUCCUGAGUCCUUUUGACAUGAUCCUAGCCUUCUGACUCUCUGGCACGAUAAGAUGUCCAGGUUCAUCUUGUAGAUUUUCUGCCCCAGGCCUGGAAUCAACUCUUUAUCUGAGAAGUCUUGGUUCCCUGUAGUGAGAAGGGGUAUUUAGAGACCACAAAUUUGGAUGCUAGGGGUGCCUGAUGCUUCUUGGUCAUUGCUUCUGGGCGUUUUCAGUGUGUAGAGUGGGGACAUAUUUUUUCUUAAGAAAAUAAACAUGAACUCCUAGUGAUAUUUUAAACAAAAUCUAGGGUUAUAAGAUUUUUACUUAAGUUCUUUGAUUUUGCAUUUAUAUUUCUUUUCUCUAAUGCUGGACAUCUUGCUUCCUAAUAUUAACAUGAUUACUGGUUCAUUUUCUUCUAUGUUCUCUCUCUCUCUAUAAAAUAUAAUAAAAAUGUCAGACUAACAAUAUCAAUAAUAUUACUAACAAUAUGAUUACUAAAAACACUUUAUAAUUUGUUAACAUUCUCUUUGUCCUUAGAGUAUACAUCCUACUAGUAGAUGCGUGGAGCCCUGGAGGCACAGUGGGGAGCUCGGCUGCUAACAAAGAGGUCGGCAGUUUGAACCCAACAGCUGCUCCCUGGAAACCCUGCAGGGCAAUUCUACUCUGUCCUAUAGGGUCACUAUGAGUAGAAAUUGACCCGGUGGCAAGGGGAUUUUGUAGAUGUACAAAUCGCUAGGUUUUUAAAUCACUUGAAAUAAUUCCACUCUGCACGGUGAAGUCAGCAACUUGACACACAGAUUCAUUUAUUUCAUUUUGAUAUUUUUUAUUGUUUUUGACUGUAUUUUGAUUUAAUUUUGUUUUGUUAUUAUGUAAAGCAUUUGCCUGGCUCUAAAUUUAAUCUCCAGAACAAGGUGUAUUCAAAGAAGUCUAGCUUCUACCCCCAUUGCCUUUAUCCUAUUUCCUCCUUCCUCCAACAGAUAAUUUUUAAUUUUAUUUUUAGCUGAUUUUUUUAAAUGUAAGAAAACAGGCAUAUAAUUCUAUGUUCCUUUCCCUUUUCUUGAUAAAUGAUAAUUACCAUAUAUGCUUUCUUCUACUUUGUUUUUUUUCCAGCAGUUGUACCCUGCAGAUCACACCAUCACUGUAUACAGAGAUCUCCAUUCCCUUUUCCAACUCCAGGGUCCUCCAUUGUGUGACAACUAAUCCUCGCCGAUGGACAUUUAAGUGGUUUACAGUUUUUACUGUUAUAAAUGAUGCUGCCAUGAAUAGCUUCAUGCAGACAUCUUGUCAAAUUUUUGCCAGUGUAUCUUUGGAAUAGAUUCCUAGAAGUGGGGUUUCUGGGUCAAAAGGUACAAGGAUAUGUAAUUUUGAUAGAAACUGACAAAUUUGCCUCUAUAUAGGGCUUGCACUGUUUUGUAUUUCCACUAGGCAAUGUAUAAGAGGGUCUGUUUUCCCAUAGCCUUGGCAACAUGCUCUCACAUUCUUGGACUUUUGCCAAUAUGAUAGAUGACAAGUGGUGUCUUAGUUUAGUUUUAAUUGGCAUAUCUCUGAUUAUGAACAAGGUUAAACUUUUUUUCAUGUAUUUAGAUUCUGAUUCUUUUUUUCUGUCCCUAGUGUCCUGCACAAGGCCUGACGCAGAUGAGGCCUUUAGGAGAAAUUUCUAGAAUGAAUGAAGGAAGGAACAAAUGAACCAACAAAAGAGGAAAUGGAGCCUUGAAGAGGGUGGCUACCUUGCUCAAGGUCAUGGGUUAAAUGAUCAUCAGAGUUGGGAUAAAAAUUGAUCUCUUUUUUUCCCCCUUGGCUAAUUUAUUUUUUUUUCUGACUAAAAAUGAAUUGAAGUUUAUACUAGAAAUUUUGGAAAGCACAGGAAAGUAUAACAUAGGAAAAAUUCAAUCUUUUUAUCCCAAGUAAACCACUUUUAAGCAUUUUAGUAUAUUUCCUCCUAGUCUGUAUGCAUUUUUUCCAUAGUUAUGAUUACACUACAUGUAUGAUUUUAUAUUCUACAUUUGGCCACUUAACACUUUGUAUACAUAAUUUUAAUGGCCAUCCAAUAUUCCACUAUCUGAAUAUACCUCAACAUAUUUAACUUUUCCAUUCCUGCUGGACUUCUAGAUUGCUUCCAGAUUUUUGCUAUUAUAAAUAAAUUCUGCUGUGUUCAUCUUUGUUCACAUUCUGGAUGUUCCCAUUAGGACUGAUUCCUGGAAGUGGAGUUCCUGGAAUCCCAGCACUGAGUUCCAAGUUCAGGGCUUUGCUUGGCUGUGCUCAGGGGAGACAGUUUGCUAAGCUUUGCCUCCUGACCCCCCAGACCCCGAGCCUGACCUGGUUCUCAGUGUCUGUGAUCUUCAGUACACCCAAGACAGAUCAGCUGAUGUGUGGGAGGAACUGGGAGGGAUGGAGCUUACCAGGAAUGGGGAAUCAGAAUCUCCUGCCAUUCUCCCCAGUGCUCCUUGCGCUCAGGGGUUAUGGACAGAUAACCUGGAACCAACAAGAGGAAACGCACAUGGGCAAGGUCAAACCUGGUGACAGGUGCAGGGCAGGAGGGAUGCUGAGUGGGCAUGGCCUCUGCUUUGGAGGCGCUCACAGUGCAGUGGAGCCCCCACCUUAUAAAGGGCUCCAUCUUAGAGUCUGACAUGGUGCCAUUUCACAGAUGGAGGGACCUGAGGUAGCUGUCCAGAGGUGGUGGCUAUUGAGUGUCAUAGUAAAGAACACAGGUCUUUUUUUGGCAGAUGAGGUUGGGCAGUGGCCAAUCCAGAAGGGUCCUGUGAACCAAGGUCUUGGACCUUGUCCUGUAGGCAGCGAAGCAGGGGAAUGAUGGAGUCAGGUCUGAGUUAAGGCCGAGCCUUUUGGAUGCUCUGUGUUGAAACUAGGCAAACAGUUAGGAUGAAAGCAAAACCCAGGCAGGACACAGUGAAGCCUGAAUCAGAGCAGUGGCCAUAAGGAAAAGCAAGGAAGAUCAAGAGACAUUGGAUUGAUACUCGAAACAGAAAAACGUUCUGUUAAUUUAUUACCUCCCUGUGAUGUGAGAGGGUCCCUGGCCUGAAGUCAGGAUACCUGGUUCUAGUCCCAGCUCUGUUUGACCUUGAGUACGUCCCUGUCCUGUAUCCGUUUCCACUUUUGUACAUCAAGGAAGUUGCCCUAGGUCAUCUCUAAGGCUCUUAUGUUUGGAAAAUUCUGUGAUUCCAAGGGUGAAGAGUGGCUGUGGUCCCUGGAGGGGAAAGGAAAGGAAAAAAUCCAGGAACUUAGCAGGAGGAGCAGCCAGGCCUAGAGUCUCGGGGCCCAGGCUCUCUCUCUCCUUUCCGUCAAUGCUGCAGCAUUAAUGUCAGUGGCAGUGGCCUGGGCCAAGGCCAGAAGCCGGCUGAGGGAGGGA